RNAcentral lists this non-coding RNA (205 nucleotides) under Porphyromonas sp. Lineage: Bacteria; Pseudomonadati; Bacteroidota; Bacteroidia; Bacteroidales; Porphyromonadaceae. The record is from RNAcentral.
AUGUACCUUUGCAGUGACGGUGAUCCGAUGGACACUCGCUCAUCGGAGUAAGAGGGAAACAGGUGCAAGUCCUGUGCAGACCCGCUGCUGUAAGUCUCCAACCGAUCGGCUCGAAGUGAUGCCACUGUGGUCCUCCUCGGAGGAGUAUGGGAAGGCGACGAGCCGAGAGACAAGCCAGAAAACCUGCCGUCACGUGCAUUUUGUA